RNAcentral lists this transfer RNA (72 nucleotides) under Canis lupus familiaris (dog). It matches the Rfam family "tRNA". Rfam says of the family: Transfer RNA (tRNA) molecules are approximately 80 nucleotides in length. The record is from Rfam by way of RNAcentral. RNAcentral also lists the same sequence under 1 other name. Lineage: Eukaryota; Metazoa; Chordata; Mammalia; Carnivora; Canidae.
GCUGGCUGGCUCAGUCAGUAAAGCAUCUGAGUUUUGAUCUCAGGGUCAUGGGUUCAAGUCCCAUGCUGGGCA